UUGACAUCCAGAGAAUUUAGCAGAGAUGCUUUAGUGCCUUCGGGAACUCUGAGACAGGUGCUGCAUGGCUGUCGUCAGCUCGUGUUGUGAAAUGUUGGGUUAAGUCCGCAACGAGCGCAACCCUUAUCCUUUGUUGCCAGCACGUAAUGGUGGGAACUCAAAGGAGACUACCGGUGAUAAACCGGAGGAAGGUGGGGAUGACGUCAAGUCAUCAUGGCCCUUACGAGUAGGGCUACACACGUGCUACAAUGGCGCAUACAAAGAGAAGCGACCUCGCGAGAGCAAGCGGACCUCAUAAAGUGCGUCGUAGUCCGGAUUGGAGUCUGCAACUCGACUCCAUGAAGUCGGAAUCGCUAGUAAUCGUAAAUCAGAAUGUUACGGUGAAUACGUUCCCGGGCCUUGUACACACCGCCCGUCACACCAUGGGAGUGGGUUGCAAAAGAAGUAGAUAGCUUAACCUUCGGGAGGGCGUUUACCACUUUGUGAUUCAUGACUGGGGUGAAGUCGUAACAAGGUAAGCGUAGUGCU
This 528-nucleotide ribosomal RNA is filed under the name uncultured bacterium. RNAcentral describes it as "bacterial SSU rRNA". It matches the Rfam family "Bacterial small subunit ribosomal RNA", at positions 981 to 1509 of the family's 1533-position model. The record is from RNAcentral.